UGAUUUGUCUUGAGUCUGGGUAUCCUC
Molecule: non-coding RNA, 27 nt
Filed under: Homo sapiens (human)
Lineage: Eukaryota; Metazoa; Chordata; Mammalia; Primates; Hominidae
Source: RNAcentral